Molecule: unclassified non-coding RNA, 337 nt
Filed under: soil metagenome
Description: partial contains 5.8S ribosomal RNA, internal transcribed spacer 2, and large subunit ribosomal RNA
Rfam family: 5.8S ribosomal RNA (bases 1-120)
Source: RNAcentral
GAUGAAGAACGUAGCGAAAUGCGAUAAGUAAUGUGAAUUGCAGAAUUCAGUGAAUCAUCGAAUCUUUGAACGCACAUUGAGCCCGCCAGUAUUCUGGCGGGCAGGCCUGUUCGAGCGUCAUUUCAACCAUCAAGCCCCCCGGCUUGUGUUGGGGACCUGCGGCUGCCGCAGGCCCUGAAAAGCAGUGGCGGGCUCGCUGUCACACCGAGCGUAGUAGAUCUCAUCUCGCUCAGGGCGUGCUGCGGGUUCCGGCCGUUAAACCACCUUCAUAACCCAAGGUUGACCUCGGAUCAGGUAGGAAGACCCGCUGAACUUAAGCAUAUCAAUAAGCGGAGGA